Molecule: ribosomal RNA, 959 nt
Filed under: uncultured bacterium
Lineage: Bacteria
Description: bacterial SSU rRNA
Rfam family: Bacterial small subunit ribosomal RNA
Source: RNAcentral
UCGCCCUUAGAGUUUGAUCCUGGCUCAGGACGAACGCUGGCGGCGUGCUUAACACAUGCAAGUCGAACGAGAAGAAAUGAGAAGCUUGCUUCUUAUUGAUUCGAGUGGCAAACGGGUGAGUAACACGUAAGCAACCUGCCCUCUAGAUGGGGACAACAGCUGGAAACGGCUGCUAAUACCGAAUACGUUUUUUCUGUCGCAUGGCAGAGAGAAGAAAGGGAGGCUCUUCGGAGCUUUCGCUGGAGGAGGGGCUUGCGUCUGAUUAGCUAGUUGGAGGGGUAACGGCCCACCAAGGCGACGAUCAGUAGCCGGUCUGAGAGGAUGAACGGCCGCAUUGGGACUGAGACACGGCCCAGACUCCUACGGGAGGCAGCAGUGGGGAAUCUUCCGCAAUGGACGAAAGUCUGACGGAGCAACGCCGCGUGAACGAUGACGGCCUUCGGGUUGUAAAGUUCUGUUAUACGGGACGAAUGGUACGACGGUCAAUACCCGUCGUAAGUGACGGUACCGUAAGAGAAAGCCACGGCUAACUACGUGCCAGCAGCCGCGGUAAUACGUAGGUGGCAAGCGUUGUCCGGAAUUAUUGGGCGUAAAGGGCGCGCAGGCGGCGUCGUAAGUCGGUCUUAAAAGUGCGGGGCUUAACCCCGUGAGGGGACCGAAACUGCGAUGCUAGAGUAUCGGAGAGGAAAGCGGAAUUCCUAGUGUAGCGGUGAAAUGCGUAGAUAUUAGGAGGAACACCAGUGGCGAAAGCGACUUUCUGGACGACAACUGACGCUGAGGCGCGAAAGCCAGGGGAGCAAACGGGAUUAGAUACCCCGGUAGUCCUGGCCAUAAACGAUGGAUACUAGGUGUAGGAGGUAUCGACCCCUUCUGUGCCGGAGUUAACGCAAUAAGUAUCCCGCCUGGGGAGUACGGCCGCAAGGCUGUAACUACAAAUGAAUUGACGGAAGGGCGAAUUC